Molecule: ribosomal RNA, 372 nt
Filed under: Triticum aestivum (bread wheat)
Lineage: Eukaryota; Viridiplantae; Streptophyta; Magnoliopsida; Poales; Poaceae
Description: partial small subunit ribosomal RNA
Source: RNAcentral
AUGUAUAUUCUUGAAGCUGCGCCCUUACUGAAGGAGCUAUACAUGAUGGUAUGGGAUCAUGCUUGCAAUAUGGAAAUGGACGAGACGAAGAGGAAAGAAGAAGCAUAUAGUGAGGACAAGGGUGUAGAGUGGGACUUGGUCGCAGCAGAUUUCAAACACCACAGUUUGGUCACACUCGUCAUUUUUUGCUUUGAAUCUGAAGAUUGCUUUGUGAGUUAUGUGAGACGUGUCCUGGUGGCGGCCGUCAAUCUAGAGGAUGUCUUCUUGUAUAGCGGGUUGAAGUGUCGCAGUUGCCCGGACAAGAAGCUUGUCAGGUACCCCUGGACUGAAUGGCAGAGGAUCUCCCUGAAUGAGAGACUCACACUAUGGUGA